Molecule: ribosomal RNA, 363 nt
Filed under: uncultured bacterium
Lineage: Bacteria
Description: bacterial SSU rRNA
Rfam family: Bacterial small subunit ribosomal RNA
Source: RNAcentral
GGAGGAUCCAAGCGUUAUCCGGAAUCAUUGGGUUUAAAGGGUCCGUAGGCGGUUUAAUAAGUCAGUGGUGAAAGCCCAUCGCUCAACGGUGGAACGGCCAUUGAUACUGUUAAACUUGAAUUAUUAGGAAGUAACUAGAAUAUGUAGUGUAGCGGUGAAAUGCUUAGAGAUUACAUGGAAUACCAAUUGCGAAGGCAGGUUACUACUAAUGGAUUGACGCUGAUGGACGAAAGCGUGGGUAGCGAACAGGAUUAGAUACCCUGGUAGUCCACGCCGUAAACGAUGGAUACUAGCUGUUGGAAGCAAUUUCAGUGGCUAAGCGAAAGUGAUAAGUAUCCCACCUGGGGAGUACGUUCGCAAGAA